AUUGAACGCUGGCGGCAGGCCUAACACAUGCAAGUCGAGCGGUAGAGAGAAGCUUGCUUCUCUUGAGAGCGGCGGACGGGUGAGUAAUGCCUAGGAAUCUGCCUGGUAGUGGGGGAUAACGUUCGGAAACGGACGCUAAUACCGCAUACGUCCUACGGGAGAAAGCAGGGGACCUUCGGGCCUUGCGCUAUCAGAUGAGCCUAGGUCGGAUUAGCUAGUUGGUGAGGUAAUGGCUCACCAAGGCGACGAUCCGUAACUGGUCUGAGAGGAUGAUCAGUCACACUGGAACUGAGACACGGUCCAGACUCCUACGGGUGGCUGCCUGAGACCAAGGCACACAGGGGAUAGG
RNAcentral lists this ribosomal RNA (349 nucleotides) under uncultured Pseudomonadota bacterium. RNAcentral describes it as "bacterial SSU rRNA". It matches the Rfam family "Bacterial small subunit ribosomal RNA", at positions 30 to 381 of the family's 1533-position model. The record is from RNAcentral. Lineage: Bacteria; Pseudomonadati; Pseudomonadota.